GACGAACGCUGGCGGCGUGCUUAACACAUGCAAGUCGAGCGGUAAGGCCCUUUCGGGGGUACGACGAGCGGCGAACGGGUGAGUAACACGUGGGUGACCUGCCCUCAGCUCUGGGAUAAGCCUGGGAAACCGGGUCUAAUACCGGAUAUGACUCCAUGACGCAUGUUGUGGGGUGGAAAGCCUUGUGCGGCUGAGGAUGGGCCCGCGGCCUAUCAGCUUGUUGGUGGGGUGAUGGCCUACCAAGGCGACGACGGGUAGCCGGCCUGAGAGGGCGACCGGCCACACUGGGGACUGAGACACGGCCCAGACUCCUACGGGAGGCAGCAGUGGGGAAUCUUGCGCAAUGGGCGAAAGCCUGACGCAGCGACGCCGCGUGAGGGAUGACGGCCUGGUU
This 394-nucleotide ribosomal RNA is filed under the name uncultured bacterium. RNAcentral describes it as "bacterial SSU rRNA". It matches the Rfam family "Bacterial small subunit ribosomal RNA", at positions 28 to 424 of the family's 1533-position model. The record is from RNAcentral.